Long non-coding RNA from Perca fluviatilis (European perch), 1589 nucleotides. RefSeq lists it as uncharacterized. Lineage: Eukaryota; Metazoa; Chordata; Actinopteri; Perciformes; Percidae. The record is from RefSeq and is a predicted model, not a curated record. The transcript has 3 exons.
CCUUGACACAGAGCUUUUUUUCCUUUGCACAGAGCUUUUUUUCCUUUGCAUUGAGGCCAACCUGUGGUCUUUGUGUUUUUGAAGCAGGGCAUCCUGAGUUGCCUAACUCCCUCUUCACACACAUUCUACUUCCUGUGGUGGGCCUUGCGCUGGUCGCGCCUGUCACGCUUGUCUCUGUGAUGCUGCUCUGCCUCUUAAGAAGUCACAAAGGUGAAGUGGAUCAUGAGGUCUCGUACACCGACGUUAUCAUCACACAGGAAGUGGAGCCCAACAGGAUCAGAGAUGUGGACGCUGCAGGGACCGUCUACUCUACUGUACUCUACAUCUGGGUAACACCUGACGGAAAACAUUAGCACAGUCUCACUCCCAGCGCGUCAAAAACAGACGCUAUGACUUUAUGUCUAGUGUGCUUUUACAGAGUUACAAAGUUCAUUAAAGGGUUUGUCUUCUGAGCAGCCUGGCUGAAACUUUUUCACAAAGCUGAGCCACUUCAUCGACGAGGGAAUGAAGGCUUAACGGUCGACCAAAAACACAGACGUCUCAGUUUCAUCGUCUGGAUAUAAUGAAACCAUACAGUUCAUUGUCUGUGCAAUAAAACAAGCUGAAACUGUGCAGUUGUGAAAUAAAGUAAAAUAAAUCCCAUGAAAGCAGACACAGUAAACACCUCCCCCGUCUGUCCUGUCUGUCGAGUUCUCAACACCAGUUUGUGUAUGGGAAUCAAAAUUGGAUGUUUUCCGUGUCAGACAUUGGUGAGAGAUUCAAUCAUUCAUUCACUUAUCUCAGAUGCAUCAUUGGUCUGUAUUUUCAGAGUAAAAAGUCAAAAUUUUGAUUAAAAUCAGGAAAUGCUCAAACAAAGACGAAGUCAUCAACGCUGAGACACUGAGGGAAAUUUUUUUAUUGUGAGCAUGAGAUACUUUGCUCGUACUGCUAACUUUAUGUUGCUAAAGUUAACCCUCUGAGGACAAAAGAUGCAAUGGCGAGUCCAGGCGACUAAAAUGUCAUUUUGGACAUAUUUACUAUUUUAUGAAUAUAUAUUGAGGUACUUUUGGGAACCCACGAGGAGACCUGUUGAACAGGACCGAAAUACAAGAAUCAAAGUCACAGUGCAGGGUAAGAAACAAGCCCGGUUCAAACAUUAGAUUCAUGACUUUUAAAGUGACUUGGAGUCUUCAAACAUCAUGACAUCAUAAAGAGGCUUAUAUUUCCCUAAAAAAAACCUGAAAACUUCACGAGAAACUCUGUUUUGUGGUUUCGUGUGAGCAGAUGAUAAGUCAGGAAAUAACAGUAAAUAAUAAAAAUGAACACGGUGCUCAAUCAGUCUUAAACAAUUUAAAACUUCAUCGUCUAUGUAUAUUUCUUGAAGAGCACUUAUCCGCCCUAGUAUUUCAAAAAAUUCUUCAAUAUGUGCCAAAAUAGUAUCUGCUGAUAAAAAAUGUUGAUCAAUUUGAACUGCUGAUGAUAGCAUGCUAUCUCGGAGCCCACCGAUGUCUUCCAUUAUGUCCGCACUCUCCCUUCGCCAGCCUUUUUUUGCCCACAGCUCUGGUCUGAAUGUGACAGAUAGCCACGCCCCCUGAUUUGCAUGUAAUAGA